RNAcentral lists this ribosomal RNA (536 nucleotides) under uncultured bacterium. RNAcentral's name for it is "bacterial SSU rRNA". It matches the Rfam family "Bacterial small subunit ribosomal RNA", at positions 777 to 1311 of the family's 1533-position model. The record is from RNAcentral.
AAUAGAUACCCGGGUAGUCCACGCCGUAAACGAUGAGUGCUAAGUGUUAGAGGGUUUCCGCCCUUUAGUGCUGCAGCUAACGCAUUAAGCACUCCGCCUGGGGAGUACGGCCGCAAGGCUGAAACUCAAAGGAAUUGACGGGGGCCCGCACAAGCGGUGGAGCAUGUGGUUUAAUUCGAAGCAACGCGAAGAACCUUACCAGGUCUUGACAUCCUCUGACAACCCUAGAGAUAGGGCUUUCCCCUUCGGGGGACAGAGUGACAGGUGGUGCAUGGUUGUCGUCAGCCCGUGUCGUGAGAUGUUGGGUUAAGUCCCGCAACGAGCGCAACCCUUGAUCUUAGUUGCCAGCAUUCAGUUGGGCACUCUAAGGUGACUGCCGGUGACAAACCGGAGGAAGGUGGGGAUGACGUCAAAUCAUCAUGCCCCUUAUGACCUGGGCUACACACGUGCUACAAUGGAUGGUACAAAGGGCUGCAAACCUGCGAAGGUAAGCGAAUCCCAUAAAGCCAUUCUCAGUUCGGAUUGCGGGCUGCAAC